Molecule: transfer RNA, 69 nt
Filed under: Nothobranchius nubaensis
Lineage: Eukaryota; Metazoa; Chordata; Actinopteri; Cyprinodontiformes; Nothobranchiidae
Description: tRNA-Gly
Rfam family: tRNA
About the family: Transfer RNA (tRNA) molecules are approximately 80 nucleotides in length.
Source: RNAcentral
AUCUUUCUAGUAUUAAUAAUACUAGUGACUUCCAAUCACUUAAUCCUGGUUAAACCCCGGGGAAAGGUA